Long non-coding RNA from Zonotrichia leucophrys gambelii, 837 nucleotides. RefSeq lists it as uncharacterized. Lineage: Eukaryota; Metazoa; Chordata; Aves; Passeriformes; Passerellidae. The record is from RefSeq and is a predicted model, not a curated record. The transcript has 4 exons.
AUCUACAAAUUAUGCUAGUCCUUCAUGAAGACUUUUUGACUACAUAAGUGGAAAUUGUCCUGUUCGGAUCUUGUUCUGGAGAUUGAAUCUGCUUGGCAACUGGAUCUUUUGCAACUGCUGGCUCUAACUUGUGUACUAAACAUACAUUGUGUGCUAAACAUACACACAGAUGAAGAAUAUUUUAUUCCAGCUGACUAUUUACAAAAUUUCUUCAGGCUCUGGUUCUGCCCAUAACAGCUCAACAGAAGAUUUGACUUGAAGCAACAAGUGUUUUAAAAGUCUUUGGAACAACAGGAUGAAGCCCUGUGUGCAAGUCCUUCUCUAAAUGUGUCUGAAGAAAAGAAAUGUAAUUUGUUGAACUAUUGAUCACAAAUACCUAAAAAUAAUGAAUAAAAGUAAAUUGUGUCUCUUUUUGGAAAGAAACAGCUCUGUGAGGUCCCACAUACAUAUUGUUUUUUAAAGGAUGAUAAAGAUGAUUGAAAGAAGCUGCGUGGCCUUCUGACUCUGACUUGAUGAAUGAGGCCAAUGUCCACAGAUUUCUUAGUGGAACACAGCUUCUAAUUGCACGGCUUGUACUUGUGUCAAACAAAGGCAGAGGGAUUCAAAGAAACAAACAUAUCAAAGUCAGUUGGUUAUUAUGAGUUUCCUCUGCUUCAGACUGUUAAGCAAAAUCUCUUGAGAGUCUGUCUAUGGCUGCUUUAACUCCACUUGGGAUGCCUCAGCUGUUUUUGAUAUUCUCUUUGCCAUCAGGACAUCUUGCUGGCAAUUAUUUCAGUGUCUGACCCUCUGUGAGUUUCAGAACCAUUCCUGUAAUAAUGAUACUGUCACUAAAAUGAU